This is a long non-coding RNA of Acanthochromis polyacanthus (spiny chromis), 1914 nucleotides long. RefSeq lists it as uncharacterized. The record is from RefSeq and is a predicted model, not a curated record. NCBI's taxonomy places the organism in Eukaryota, Metazoa, Chordata, Actinopteri, Pomacentridae. The transcript has 3 exons.
UUAAAAAGUGCCUCAUUUAGAAGCUUCGCUCGACUAUUUUCUUGUUUGAUAUUUUGACAUCCUCGUUUAACAGAUGAUGUUAUUAUUAUAUUCGUGUUUUGUGAGGUUGUGAAGAGGUUUUCUUGGUUUCUAACUGUGGAAUGUGAAGAAUUCCUGGAGAAUAAAGGAGGUUUUGUUCAGUUCAGGCAGGCUUGGUCUGAAGACACCUGUUGACCUGAAGCCAUGAUGACAGGAUGUCCCCUAACCCCAGAGGUUAGCCGCUACAAUCAGAGACAUGUGGACGUUACCCACAAUCCUUAGAGGCUAACGGGACCAUCAGGGCUCUGUCAGGUCUAGAAAGAACCAUAGUACCACUAAUCAGGUUUAGAAGGAGUCAUAGUAGCACUAAUCAUGAGGUCUAGAAGGAGUCAUAGUGCCACUAAUCAGGUCUAGAAGGAGUCAUAGUUCCACUAAUCAGGAGGUCUGGAAGGAGUCAUAGUGCCACUAAUCAGGUCUAGAAGGAGUCAUAGUUCCACUAAUCAGGAGGUCUAGAAGGAGUCAUAGUUCCACUAAUCAGGAGGUCUAGAAGGAGUCAUAGUACCACUAAUCAGGAGGUCUAGAAGGAGUCAUAGUUCCACUAAUCAGGAGGUCUAGAAGGAGUCAUAGUACCACUAAUCAGGAGGUCUAGAAGGAGUCAUAGUGCCACUAAUCAGGAGGUCUAGAAGGAGUCAUAGUACCACUAAUCAGGUUUAGAAGGAGUCAAAUACCACUAAUCAGGAGGUGUAGAAGGAGUCAUAGUACCAUUACUCAGAAUGGUGAGAACCUGACCAGGACUACCACAGUGAAUGCAUAGUCCUGACAGCGAAGCAUGGAGGUGGAAGUGUAAUGAUAUUGAUACUGUAAGACAUAAAUAGAUGAACCAUGAAUGCCAGAGGACAUAUCAAAACCCAAAAUGACCACAAAGAGACACAAAAAGAGCUCAAAGUUGAAAAACAAACUUAGACACACAAAAUGACCACAGAGACACAAAAAGAGACAAAAUUACAAUAAAAAGACACAAAACAACCACAAAGAGACACAAAACAACCACAAAGAGACACAAUUACUCCAAAAUGAUGAAAACAAUGGAGCUGUUGUGUUGGAUGCAUAAUCCCGACAGUGAAGUGUGAUGGUAGAACAGCAAUAUUAGAAUAUAGAAAAUGUGAAUAAAAUGCCAGUGAAGUAUACUAAAGUUAAAAUGUUUCUUUAUCUCAUUUUGUAUCAGAAUAUUUAGCUUUUUUUAGUCAAAACAAACCCAAUAAAAGUUGACAUUUAUUAGCACUGAUGCUAACGGUGAAACCCUCCGUGUUUUUGUGCGCUAGCUUAGUCAUGCUACAUGUUAGCGGUCACAUUUGGAAGCCAUCAGAUCAGACUGAGGGCAGCUCCUGUUUACAAUUACCCCAGUGAGGGGUAGGAGGGGGAGGAGGGGUAAUAGCUCCAUCAAAGGGCCCCAGAAUUCCCGGGAUUCCUGGGUUUCCUGUGAAGCCGCUCGGUAAUCGCCGGAGCAGCCGAUCGUGACGAAGUUUAAUCAGUCGAGUCGCUGCUCUAAUUGGCAGCGUCUCGUUUGGGAUAAUCAAUGAACAGGAGGAAGCCUGAGGCCGGACCGGGACGCUCCAGGAUCAAACACCAAAAACACCUUUUCUGUCCGCAGAUUCUCCUCCUCAGAUUAAAGUCCUCAUCUCCGAGCUGCUCGAGGCGCCCAAGAACCGGCCAGCAAGUUCAUUAAAACCCAAGUUCACAGGUGAAAACUGAAAACGAAGGAAAUGUUUCAGCUUUUUAUCCACCACAGGAGCAAAGUUUAUUAUCUGGACAGGAGAUUCCAGCUCAUCCAGCCUGGAAAUCCUCGUUUAACUGGAAUUAUUAUCAAACGACUGACAACGAGCGGAGCAGCAGAGG